GAGUAGAACAUGCGGCCAACUUGAACAUGUUCCAGCAUGUCGUGACUAGAACCGUGCAGAGGGUAAGAAUAUAGACAUUAACGGGAUAUUUUUGUCCAAAUAUUUGCUUCAACAACCCUACUUUUUGUUGUUGUUGCCUUGCACACAUUAAACACAUAUCCAGAUGUGGGCGAGCAUUGUCAAGAUGAACAAGAGAUGAGAAGCGCAGGUGAAUUUUUAGGGAACUUUUUUGCAAACUUUCCUGAAAGAGCCAAAAACCCAAAGCAGAGCAGAGCAAAUUCAAGACCCGGGGCGACGGCAGAGCUUUGCCUGUGUUCAGUUCCUGAAGACACAGCAAUGACAGCUGGCUUUCAAUCAUGCUCCUCUGUCUUCAGCUGAGAAAAACAAGCACCUCUUGCUGAGUCCUGAUUGGUGAGAGUGUGCAGGGCUCAGUCACAUGGCUACUUUCAAUAUGAUUUGUGUAUUUAUUAGGGGCGGGGUCUCGUUGCACCAAGCCACACCCACACCACAGUGGUCGAUUUCAAGUUGAUUGCGAUGUAAAUACAAAUGUGCUCGGAUUUGUACGUGCAAUAAAUUGAAUACAUCUGAA
Nerophis ophidion (straightnose pipefish) is the source of this 589-nucleotide long non-coding RNA. RefSeq lists it as uncharacterized. The record is from RefSeq and is a predicted model, not a curated record. NCBI's taxonomy places the organism in Eukaryota, Metazoa, Chordata, Actinopteri, Syngnathiformes, Syngnathidae. The transcript is spliced from 2 exons.